UGUAGCUCAGAGGUUGAGCACCUGCUUAGUAUGCAGGAAGUCCUGGGUUUGAGACCCAGUA
RNAcentral lists this transfer RNA (61 nucleotides) under Fukomys damarensis (Damara mole-rat). It matches the Rfam family "tRNA", at positions 6 to 65 of the family's 71-position model. Rfam says of the family: Transfer RNA (tRNA) molecules are approximately 80 nucleotides in length. Their secondary structure includes four short double-helical elements and three loops (D, anti-codon, and T loops). The record is from Rfam by way of RNAcentral. Lineage: Eukaryota; Metazoa; Chordata; Mammalia; Rodentia; Bathyergidae.